Long non-coding RNA from Megalobrama amblycephala (Wuchang bream), 231 nucleotides. RefSeq lists it as uncharacterized. The transcript has 3 exons. Lineage: Eukaryota; Metazoa; Chordata; Actinopteri; Cypriniformes; Xenocyprididae. The record is from RefSeq and is a predicted model, not a curated record.
CACGUUUGGAUGACUACAGAUGAGACGUUAUGUAUUACAAAUAAAGAAGCAAGAUCAGUACAGAUUUGUUAUUGGAGAUACAGUGCAAGCUGUGUGGAAUCAAAGACCUGUAUUGAUGAGGCCAGUGUCAGUGAAGAUGGUGUGGUCACUGGAAUCCUGGUGUUUGUGGGAAAUGUGAAGGAGCUUCUCCCAGGAUUCUACUACAGUGUUGUCCUGAUGACUGAGGUAAUU